Molecule: ribosomal RNA, 456 nt
Filed under: uncultured bacterium
Lineage: Bacteria
Description: SSU rRNA
Rfam family: Bacterial small subunit ribosomal RNA
Source: RNAcentral
AGAACGAACGCUGGCGGCAUGCCUAACACAUGCAAGUCGAACGUGAUCCAUGACUUCGGUUGUGGUGAAAGUGGCAAACGGGUGAGUAACGCGUGGGAAUCUGCCCAGAGGUAGGGAAUAACCGCGGGAAACUGCGGCUAAUACCCUAUGUGCCCUACGGGGCAAAGAUUUAUCGCCUUUGGAGGAGCCCGCGUCGGAUUAGGUAGUUGGUAGGGUAACGGCCUACCAAGCCUACGAUCCGUAGCUGGUCUGAGAGGAUGAUCAGCCACACUGGGACUGAGAUACGGCCCAGACUCCUACGGGAGGCAGCAGUGGGGAAUAUUGGACAAUGGGGGCAACCCUGAUCCAGCAAUGCCGCGUGAGUGAUGAAGGCCUUCGGGUUGUAAAGCUCUUUCGGCGGGAAGAUGAUGACGGUACCCGCAGAAGAAGCCCGGCUAACUUCGUGCCAGCAGCCGC